This is a long non-coding RNA of Dermochelys coriacea (leatherback sea turtle), 2635 nucleotides long. RefSeq lists it as uncharacterized. NCBI's taxonomy places the organism in Eukaryota, Metazoa, Chordata, Testudines, Dermochelyidae. The record is from RefSeq and is a predicted model, not a curated record. The transcript has 3 exons.
UGAUUGGGAAUUUAACCAGAACAUUGACAUAUCCUGCAGAAUGUGGGAUUUUUCAGAGAAAAGUUAACAUGAUAUACAAGUAACCUCAGAUUUAUCAGGUUUUAAGAAAAUAUUAAAACCCAACAGGUGAUUACAUUGCUCUAACACACAAAAGCUUUUAAAUCUUGAGGUUAAAUAUUCCAUGAAGGAGAUGAGUUAUUUCCUAAGCAUGCUCACUGAUCUUUAUUGCUUAUGCAGGAUGCUGAUAAGAAACCUUAGAUAACUUAUUGCAAAACUCUUACAUUCCUAACAUAAAGGUCUGUGCAUGAUGGAAGACUAAUAGAUGAAGACAAAAGUGGAGUAAGAUUAUUUUAUUUUCAAUCAUUAGUGCAAGUGUUAUAAAGGAUGUAUUUUGCAAGGCCCUGGGACAUACUUUCACUCUUGUUCAUGGAUUCAUAGGACCAGACUCUCAGCUGGCAUAAAUUGGUGUGGCUCCACUGAAAUCAAUGAAGCUGUGCAGAUUAAUACCAGUUGAGGAGUUGGUCCAUAGAUUUUAAGGCCAGAAGGGUCCAUUAUGAUAAUCUAAUCUUACCUAUUGCAUAAAAUAGGGCAUAGAAUUUUAUCUAGUGAUUUUUGCAUCUAGCACAAGAAAUUGUGGUUAAACUAGGGUGUAUAUUUUGUAAAGAUGAUUUAGUCUUAAUUUAACAAAUCCACAUAUUGAAGAAUUUACCUUAUCCCUUAGUAAUCUAUCCCAAUGCUUAAUGAUCUUCAAUGUUAAAAAUUUACACCUUAUCUCUAGUUUGAACUUUGCUGACUUCAGCUUCCACUGUUGGACCUUGUUAUGCCUAUGUGUGUUAGAUUAAGGAGCCCUUUAAUAUCUGAUAUCUUCUCUCUUUGCAAGUUGUGAACAAGUUCACUCUUACCCUUCCCUUCGCUAAACUAAAUAGAUUAAUCUCUUUUUAAAUAAAUUAGUCUCUGACUGUAAGUGUGUUUUCAAGACUGCGAAAAUUUCUCAGCUCUUUUUUGAUCCUUCUCCAAUUUGUGAACAUCGUUUUAAAAAUGUGGACAUUAUCCUUGAACACAAUAUUCCAUUAGUGGUCUCAUGAAUGCCAUAUACAAAAAUAAUUGGAGUCCCAGAGUUUAAGGCCAGAAGGAUCACCAGAUCAUAUAGUCUGAUCUCCUGUAUAUCAUAGACCACUAACAUCGCCAAGCACCCACACACAUACUAAACCCAACAAGCCCAUCUUCCACUCCUGCUUGAUAUUCCCCUGUCUAUACAUCAAGGGAUCAUGUUAGGUCUUUUUUCCACGGCAUCAUCCUGGGAACUGAUGUUCAUCUGUUUAUCAAAGUCCUUUUUGGAGGCACUGCUUUCCAGGAUGCAGUCCCCCCCUUUUGCAGUGGUGAUUUUAGAUGAUACCUCAUUCCUCAGGGUAACAAAGGCACUGAGAGCACAGCCGUUGCUGGAGUCCUGAAGCCAUUCAGGCCUGUAUGCUGCUAGCCUGUUUACUACAGUAGAGCCUGCAGAGGAAGAAAUAAGGCUGUCAUCCUUAGAAACUUUCAGAAGAGGAUUGCAGAGUACCUCCAUGAAAGUUUCAUUGAGAUCUCUCAGGAGGAUUCAAAGGACAUCCCUGGGUACAUAAACAAAUUGCUCCACAUUCCAGGCUCCAGCCUAACUCUAAGGGAAUGAAAAGCAGGUGUGAGUGUGGCCUUUACAUAACAAAGCAGCCGAGAGUCAGCCAAAAUGUCAGGAAGGACAGAGUGCCAGCAGGAACAUCCCAGGAUGGGAGGCAGGAGGAGUGCUGUUCUGGGAAAGAAUCACCUGAGAAGGACAAACUGAAGCCAGACCCAGUAUUGCCAUUGCCCAGAACUAUACGGGUCUGUGAGUACUGGGGCUUGUGACUUUGCACUGGGAACUAAGGAGGGAGGUUGUAGCUAGUUAAGUGAGGUUGUUGCACUGUGUAGGUUUGCAGAGAAUGGCAGAAGAGGGCACUAGAAGGGUUUGUUUGGUAAAAUUUAUGGGUGCCAAAGACCAUCAGGAGCACCCAAGAGUCACUGCUGAACUGGAACUCUGCCAAGGAUUCCUGAGCUCUGAAUCUAGAUGUAUUGCUCAGUGUCUAUCCUUUUAUAUGAGGGUAACAUUGGGUUUGUGGGUCCUUGUGUUGGAUGUAACCCUGCUUUACUGCUCCCCCUCUCUCUUCCCUCUGUUUUCCACCAUUCAUCCCUCUGUCAAUAAAUAUUUCCUUUGUCUGUAUUCACUGUACUAAUCCAGUGUGUGUAUGUAUUUAGUCAGUGGGGUUAGGUACAGGUGCUCCUGGGAUAGAAGGGAGAUUCUCUACUGUGUUCCUGCAUGUGUCUUUUCUUGGCCAGAGUUGCCCUGUAGAGCGGACUCCAUCUUGGCCAUGAAGGUAGGGUGGCCAGAUGUCCAGUUUUUGACCGGAAAGUCUGGUUGAAAAGGGGACCUGACAGUGUCCAGUCAGAUCAAUUGACCAUGCCAGACACCCUAAGACAGUUACUGCGAGCAGGGGAGGUGCCGGGUCAUCACCUGCUCCAGCCCCUGCUCAGCUAGAGCUGCCUCCUAUCUUCAUCGGGCGGCUGCAGCUCCCAGCCCCUGCUCCGCAGAUAGGUCCCUCCUGAUCCGGGUGGGAGGGGAAAAGCA